GGGCCAGUAAAGGUUUCGACAGGGGUCUUGCAGCUGGAGAAGCUAUCCGCACGUCAUGCGUUAAAUGACAACCUAAAUAUAAACGCUGAUAAUAAAGUUCAGUACGCAUUCGCAGCGUAAGCUGUGAGUGACGUCGCCCUCGGGCGGCUUGUCUCGCCCAUCGCACUCACACGGUGGGGCCGGGGCAUCAUGAUUGUGAGAAACGACGCGCAUUAAGCUUUGCGUGCGUGGGCGUACCAUGAAGCUACCGAUUUAGGCAGAUUGUUCGUUUUCUGCUUAAGGAGGGAACAGGGAGUUUCGGGCUUCCAAGAAAAUGAACUAUGAUAGUAGAAGGACAGGGAAUGGGCUUUUGGACACGGGUUCGACUCCCGUCUAGUCCACGU
Molecule: transfer-messenger RNA, 383 nt
Filed under: Lachnospiraceae
Lineage: Bacteria; Bacillati; Bacillota; Clostridia; Lachnospirales
Also listed under: 1 other name
Description: Acetatifactor sp016290775 Standard tmRNA
Rfam family: transfer-messenger RNA
About the family: Bacterial tmRNA, also known as 10Sa RNA or SsrA, is named for its dual tRNA and mRNA-like properties. Its role is to liberate the mRNA from a stalled ribosome. To accomplish this part of the tmRNA is used as a reading frame that ends in a translation stop signal.
Source: RNAcentral